This 306-nucleotide unclassified non-coding RNA is filed under the name uncultured fungus. Its description in RNAcentral is "partial contains 5.8S ribosomal RNA, internal transcribed spacer 2, and large subunit ribosomal RNA". Lineage: Eukaryota; Fungi. The record is from RNAcentral.
AACGCACCUUGCACCCUUUGGUAUUCCAAAGGGUACGCCCGUUUGAGUGUCAUUGUAAUCUCACUCCAACAGCCCUUUGCAGGCUGAUGGAGGUGGAUCUGGACUCUGCUGUGUCCCAUGGCUGGUCUAAAAUGCAUGAGUGCACCCUGCUGUUGCAGCGUCUUCAGUGUGAUAAGCAUCCUCACUGGAUAAAGUUCCCUUGGGACACGUAUGCUUGGUGGGCUCUGCGCUGUCUAACCGUCUGGCUAGCUGGACAACUUUUGACAACUUGACCUCAAAUCGGGUGGGACUACCCGCUGAACUUAA